UUGGAUAUUUUUUGUUAUUACGUUUUCUGAAUUUGAUUUAUCAUAUUGACCUUCUUUCUGUAUAUUUUUGUGCGUUCUGAUAACUUUGUAACAUUGAUAUCUCUAACUAUUAAUAUUUUUCCUUGAUAAUUAAGUUAUGUAU
RNAcentral lists this small RNA (142 nucleotides) under Arabidopsis thaliana (thale cress). Its description in RNAcentral is "ATSL196510". The record is from RNAcentral. Lineage: Eukaryota; Viridiplantae; Streptophyta; Magnoliopsida; Brassicales; Brassicaceae.